Molecule: ribosomal RNA, 261 nt
Filed under: uncultured bacterium
Lineage: Bacteria
Description: partial 16S ribosomal RNA
Rfam family: Bacterial small subunit ribosomal RNA
Source: RNAcentral
UACGUAGGGGGCAAGCGUUGUCCGGAAUCGAUUGGCGUGAAGAAGCGUGUAGCGGCCCGGUAAGUCCGCUGUGAAAGUCAAAGGCUCAACCCGUUUGAAUGUCAGCGGAUACUGCCGGGCUAGAGUCCGGAAGAGGCGAGUGGGAAUUCCGUGUGUAGCGGGUGGAAUGCGCAGAUAUCAGGAAGAACACCCGUGGCUGAAGGCGGCGUCUCCUAGUACGGUACUGACGCUGAGACGCGAAAGCGUGGGGAGCGGAACAGG